AUUGAACGCUGGCGGCAGGCCUAACACAUGCAAGUCGGACGGUAGCACAGAGAGCUUGCUCUCGGGUGACGAGUGGCGGACGGGUGAGUAAUGUCUGGGAAACUGCCCGAUGGAGGGGGAUAGCUACUGGAAACGGUAGCUAAUACCGCAUAACGUCUUCGGACCAAAGUGGGGGACCUUCGGGCCUCACACCAUCGGAUGUGCCCAGAUGGGAUUAGCUAGUAGGUGGGGUAAUGGCUCACCUAGGCGACGAUCCCUAGCUGGUCUGAGAGGAUGACCAGCCACACUGGAACUGAGACACGGUCCAGACUCCUACGGGAGGCAGCAGUGGGGAAUAUUGCACAAUGGGCGAAAGCCUGAUGCAGCCAUGCCGCGUGUAUGAAGAAGGCCUUCGGGUUGUAAAGUACUUUCAGCGGGGAGGAAGGCGAUGAGGUUAAUAACCGCAUCGAUUGACGUUACCCGCAGAAGAAGCACCGGCUAACUCCGUGCCAGCAGCCGCCGUAA
RNAcentral lists this ribosomal RNA (504 nucleotides) under uncultured bacterium. RNAcentral's name for it is "partial 16S ribosomal RNA". It matches the Rfam family "Bacterial small subunit ribosomal RNA", at positions 30 to 523 of the family's 1533-position model. The record is from RNAcentral.